UUUUAUUUGAGAGUUUGAUCCUGGCUCAGGAUGAACGCUGGCGGCGUGCCUAACACAUGCAAGUUGAGCGAUUUACUUCGGUAAAGAGCGGCGGACGGGUGAGUAACGCGUGGGUAACCUACCCUGUACACACGGAUAACAUACCGAAAGGUAUGCUAAUACGGGAUAAUAUAUUUGAGAGGCAUCUCUUAAAUAUCAAAGGUGAGCCAGUACAGGAUGGACCCGCGUCUGAUUAGCUAGUUGGUAAGGUAACGGCUUACCAAGGCGACGAUCAGUAGCCGACCUGAGAGGGUGAUCGGCCACAUUGGAACUGAGACACGGUCCAAACUCCUACGGGAGGCAGCAGUGGGGAAUAUUGCACAAUGGGCGAAAGCCUGAUGCAG
This 383-nucleotide ribosomal RNA is filed under the name Clostridioides difficile. Its description in RNAcentral is "bacterial SSU rRNA". It matches the Rfam family "Bacterial small subunit ribosomal RNA", at positions 1 to 391 of the family's 1533-position model. Lineage: Bacteria; Bacillati; Bacillota; Clostridia; Peptostreptococcales; Peptostreptococcaceae. The record is from RNAcentral.